GUGGGGAAUCUUCCGCAAUGGGCGAAAGCCUGACGGAGCAACGCCGCGUGAGUGAUGACGGCCUUCGGGUUGUAAAGCUCUGUUAUAUGGGACGAACGGGCAUGGGGCGAAUACCCUCAUGCAGUGACGGUACCGUAAGAGAAAGCCACGGCUAACUACGUGCCAGCAGCCGCGGUAAUACGUAGGUGACAAGCGUUGUCCGGAAUUAUUGGGCGUAAAGGGCGUGUAGGCGGCCAGACAAGUCUGUCUUAAAAGUGCGGGGCUCAACCCCGUGAUGGGAUGGAAACUGUCGGGCUAGAGUGUCGGAGAGGAAAGCGGAAUUCCUAGUGUAGCGGUGAAAUGCGUAGAUAUUAGGAGGAACACCAGUGGCGAAAGCGGCUUUCUGGACGACAACUGACGCUGAGGCGCGAAAGCCAGGGGAGCAAACGGGAUUAGAAACCCUUGUAGUCC
RNAcentral lists this ribosomal RNA (450 nucleotides) under uncultured bacterium. Its description in RNAcentral is "partial 16S ribosomal RNA". It matches the Rfam family "Bacterial small subunit ribosomal RNA", at positions 354 to 796 of the family's 1533-position model. The record is from RNAcentral.